Molecule: ribosomal RNA, 258 nt
Filed under: uncultured Pseudomonas sp.
Lineage: Bacteria; Pseudomonadati; Pseudomonadota; Gammaproteobacteria; Pseudomonadales; Pseudomonadaceae
Description: partial 16S ribosomal RNA
Rfam family: Bacterial small subunit ribosomal RNA
Source: RNAcentral
CGGCGGACGGGUGAGUAAUGCCUAGGGAAUCUGCCUGGUAGUGGGGGACAACGUUUCGAAAGGAACGCUAAUACCGCAUACGUCCUACGGGAGAAAGCAGGGGACCUUCGGGCCUUGCGCUAUCAGAUGAGCCUAGGUCGGAUUAGCUAGUUGGUGAGGUAAUGGCUCACCAAGGCGACGAUCCGUAACUGGUCUGAGAGGAUGAUCAGUCACACUGGAACUGAGACACGGUCCAGACUCCUACGGGAGGCAGCAGUU